Molecule: long non-coding RNA, 4933 nt
Filed under: Sus scrofa (pig)
Lineage: Eukaryota; Metazoa; Chordata; Mammalia; Artiodactyla; Suidae
Description: lncRNA (ENSSSCG00000053033.1)
Source: RNAcentral
UGUCAAGAGAAAAGGAGGGCGUGUGACAUGUUGCUUGUAUACACCAAAGUGGCUGACCUGAAACCUUGAUCAUGUUUAUUUUUGUGAUGUUGGAUUGAUAAAGGUUUAUCAGCCAUGCUACAGUCUGUGAAACAUGCAAGGGAUUUGCAAGAGCUCACUGGGAAAUGAGCCAGUUCUAUUUUGUCUUUUGUUGUUUCGCUAGAGAUGCAGAAGGUCAUUCAUAAUGAGCAGUGCCGUGGUAGGAAAACCAGCCAUCGUAGUGAAUAGCCCUGCCCCAGACCGUGAUGUUGAAGCAGGUGAGCUAUGAGAAAGGAGGCUAAUGGGUGCUUGGCCAGCAGGUCAUCCGCCAAAGGGAAAUGAAGAAUUGCAGUAGUUAUCUCGAUACUUCUGGAAAAACAGGAACCCUCUCAAUUUGCUCCCUAAUUGUGUAGGUUAUCGAUGUCAUUUUGGAUGUAUGGCAUUCACCUACUCAAACAUUGUAAGCCAGUCUAUUGCUGGAAGACCUCAGGAAAGAAGGAAGCCAGGUGACUCCCUAGAUUAGAUUUAAAUGCCAUUUGCCAGGUUUUUACUAUUAUUUUCAAAAGGAAAAAAAUUACUAGUAUGGCCCCUCUAGAAGUGAUUAUCAAUGUUUUGCCUAAUCUAGUUUAUUAUAAAAGUGGAGAGUAAGGAUUUUUUCUAUAAACAUAGCAAAAUUUAUUUAAAUACUUGAGUAAGGUCUAAGCACCCAGAAUGUAACUUUUCUGAAGGAAUCAUAUUCACAUACACAUAGAAAAAAUAGCAUUAAUUGUUUAAGAGUGUAGGAUAUGGAGGCAGUCAGGGUUCAAAUCAUAGCUUCACCAACUACUAGUCACAUUGCUUUGAGUAAGUCACUUGACAUCUCUAUGCCUCAGUUUCUUCACCUGUAAAAUGGCAUAAUGACAACACCAGCAUGAUAGGUAUGUUAUGAAAAUUAAUGGUUUUAUAUACAAAAGAAUUUAAAAUAGUGCCUUGCCUUUAGUGUGUACUCAGUAAAUAUCAGCUAAUUUAUGGUUUAUACAUCUGUGCACACCUGUGUGUUCACAAAGAAGUAUGACAAUUAAUUGAAAGUGUUUCAAAUCACAUUUGCUCAAUUAUGAAUAAGUGGAAAGAAAAUUUUAUACAAAUAAGAGUCCAUCAGGCAUCAUUUUUGAAGAACACAAAAAUGAGUAUUAAAUGCAGUUAGAUAAGAGCUUUUCUUAUAUUCUCCUUUGCUUAAAUCCAUUCUGCUUUCAUUUAUUGUAAUGUGUUAAGAGACUAUAUGGUCUUUCUAAAGUAGUUUUUCCCAUGCCAGAGAAAUAAAUUCUUGGUAGACCAUUUUUUUACAUCCUGAUGUGACAAUUUCUAUUACAUUUGGGGUAGGGAGACAUCCUCCAUGUUUCUGGGACUUAAAGUGUGAGGACUGGCACCUACAUUAGAAAGAAUGGGAAAGAAUCAGAAACUUGGCUUUGCUGUGACUGUUCGUUUAUUUAGCAUUUAUUCUGUAGGCAGAAUCGGAGGCUUUGCUACAACUCCACACUGUGAUUUUCAUGGGUAGAAUACUAAUAACCAACCUUUUAUAUGCAUUCAUUCAUGUCGAUUUCCUUAUACUUCAUUAGGAAUCCGCCACCCAAACCCCUGACCCAUUUUCCCAUUCCCAUCAGGCAGAUCUACUUCUGAGUCAUCAAAGACUUCAAGUCUGUCACCCCACGUGUUAGUUGAUAUUUUAUAUCCUAAAUGGCCCUGUCUCCUCUUUCUUGAUUGGCUCAGAUAUUGUUUCUGGUUCAAAAAUCCAUAGUCUCCUCUUGGGGCAUAAGGCCUGAAUAUUUUCUGGUAUUGCAUUGCUUUCAUAACAAUGACUUUCCAAUUUAAGCCUUGAAUAGUGUAGCCAUCAAGAGAAAAAUCCAUCAUUCUUGGUCCAAAUAACCUCCAGCAUCUAUGAGAUGGCCCUAAACAUUGGUUAGGGCUCAUAUUCAUGUGCUAUUUGUCACAGGUUUUGCAUUUAAAAACGUUACAUAUCAAAACAACAUUACAAAUUGAGCUAAGGUUUAAACUGUCCCUAAGGUGUAAAAUGAAUGAACACACAGGGAGGAAGUUUGGACUUUGAUAGACAUUUGGAGAAUUAUUUAUUCAAUUUCCCCCUCUCAGAGAGUCAGGGAUCUCAUUUGCAUAUCCAUGCGCACUGAAGAGCACCCAGUAAUGAAACAGAUUUAACCUUAUUUAACCUAAUAUUUCUCUAACUUAUUUUUUAACCAUAGGAGGCCUUGUUUUUCUCAGAUCUCACAUUAACCUGUCUCCAAACAAAUGAUCUCCAAACACUUUGAGAAAACAGAAUUAAAGAGUUGGCUAUUUCCUUGUGACUGUCACCUAUGAUUAAUCCUGGUAAAGAUUUAAUUCACCUUUUAAUAUGAUUCUAAUUGUGGGAAAUAUCCUGUAAUCUUGCAUUUCUUACUCACUGUCCCUACCUUAUUCACUGAAUUCCAAACCACUCUUCAAAAGGCAGCUUAAGUAUCAUCUUUUUCUUGAAACUUUUUCUGAUCCUCACCCUGCAUGCCCAAAUAAGAAAUUUUCUGCAGUCUCCUUUCACAUCCUGACUUUUAUCAUAAGUUUGUAUAAACCUGUAUGUUAUUAUAAGUCAGAAACCUUACAAAAUUCCUUUUUAGGCUUUGCAUAGACCUACUUAAUAGGAACUUCAUAAAUAUUUUUGGCUAGAUUGUGAAGCAUCAGUAUUUAUAAGCCUUCCAAAGAUUCAUUUGCUAGAAAUGAUUUUUUAAAGCCAGAUCUUAUUUGCCAUCCAUAAUAUCCAAAGAUAAAGCGUGAUGUUAAUUAUUUCCUCCAUGAGGUCAAGCCUUCCAGAAGGGUGGCAAAUCCUUGGGCAUACAAUUAUAGUGGAGUCACUCUUCCAUGGCUAAUUACUUAUUAGCCAUUUCAUUGCUAAUUUGAUUAAUAACAUUAAUAUAAACCUUUAUGUUGAUUUUGUAAAAUACAUUACAAGGUAGGUCAAUAUCUUGGCCCUCAUUAUCUGGAUGGGGAAAGGAAACAUAAAAAGUUGAUCUGAUUGAUUACCUCAAGGUUAUUCUUUAUGGUUAUGAUAGAACAGAAUAAAAACUCAUCCUAGUCCAAUUCUAAGACACUAAACAAACUUCUAGCUCUAUUCGAGGAUGAAGAAAAUCCAUGUUUUUGCUAAAUAUGCAACUUAGUGUAGAUUCAGAAAGUAUGCACAACCAACAGCAUUUUUUAGCAGCAGUUAUUUCAAGAUGGUGGACUGACCCAGAAAGGGAAUUUGAUUUGCUGUCAUAUGUAUGUGGGAAAUGCUGGAAAACUCAAGUAGAUAUUUCUAUCAAGGUUAGAUUUAUUUUUAAUCAAAGUUUUAAGAUCACUUAGUGUACUAAUAGGCAUUGUGAAUUUUCAAGAUGGCACCAUGGUAUGGAGUCUCUCCAGAUUUCCUAGUCUGUGAAGCAUACCGUAUGAAAUACUGCUAUACAUUCUUCACACUGUUAACACUGUGCUCCCAGGAGAAAUCCUCUUAACCAGCUUCUACUAGUGGUCUCAUUCCUGUGGUUCCCUCUUUCUGUGGCCAUAACUGGUAGAUAUUCACCAACCUGGGUUCCUCUCUUCUUCAAUAGUAGCUGCUUGUAUGGCUGCCCAACUACAGUUGUGAUCACAGCACUAGCUUUCUCCAUUGAGAUUUUUGUAUAGAAUUGAUGUGCAACACUUAUAAGCGUGGUCCAUAAUAUAUCUUAGAGAUGCCCCUCCGUGUUCUUCCCACUCCCUGUGGUCAGAGUAGCAGCUACAGGGACACGAUGGAGGCUGCACGUUCAAGGUGGCAGAGCUAAUGUCCAGCUUGGGUCUCAGAAAAACUGAGGGGAGCAGAGCCCAUGAAACACCCUCAUUGGACUUUUAGGUCAGAAAGAAAAACAUCAUUGUGUUUGAGCCCUUGCAAUUUGGGUCUUUUUCUUACAGCCAUUUAUCCACCCUAACUAAUACAUUUAUACACCUGUCUCCCCCGAGUCAGACACCUCUGCCAUGAAAGUCUGUAACUCACCUCAAACCUGGUUUCCUGGAUUGAUCUUCUGUUCCCACCAUCAUCUUCCUAGUCCCCACAAGUUAAGCUAAGGAGCUCAGGACUCUUAAGUGGCUUUUCCUUCUUCUGGUCACCAUCACUUUCUCCCAUCAGAUACUCUGCAUUUGGAAGAAAUUCCUUCAUUUUUGUUCACAGCAUCCUAUAUGUAGAUAUUCUCCAUUAGCACAUGACUCAAAGCUAAAUCAAUGGCUUUGAAAUACAUAUUUUAUUACAUCUCGAAUGUAACGUGUUCAUUUUUGAAAUUUUAAAAAAUACAAGUAAGCAAAAAUGAGAAAGCCAUAUCACCCCUAAAAUCACUACCCAGAUAUAAUCAUUGUCCGUGCUUGCUUAGUCUAUAACUCACUGGUUAUAUAUAAAAUGGUGAGGUUGAAAACGAAAGCUUAUGUUUAUUUAAAACCACAGGUCUUCUCAUUGACACCUGAAUGAAGUAUACCAGGGAGUGCCAAGAAAUUAACUGAUAUUGAAGAAGGGUAAAUAUCAGCUCUGAGAUGAGUUCCAAAAAUCUAUAGCCUACAAGGUAAUUUCCUUUCAGUUUUCUCCAGGCCUGACCACCCAUGAACCCUUGCAUCCUCUGAGGCUGGCCUGCAUUAGACCAAAGGGAUACACUUUGGUUUCUGUUGUGGGACCCCAUUCUCUGAAACCACUAGAAGAUGAGCAGUUGGAGGGCAAUGCGUACAUUUUCUCAUUUUACAGCCCAGUGCCUGGCACACAGUGAGAUCUCAGAAAAGAUCCUUUGGAUGUGUGAACAUAAAUUUAAAUUAGCUUGGCCACGGACAAUUUGUAAAUCCCAUCCCCAAGCAUUUCUGGCAGAAAUGCAAUAUGCUGAGUUGCCUGCGAUUUGAGAAUGCUUUUUAG